Molecule: non-coding RNA, 393 nt
Organism: Leptonychotes weddellii (Weddell seal)
Lineage: Eukaryota; Metazoa; Chordata; Mammalia; Carnivora; Phocidae
Source: RefSeq, a predicted model, not a curated record
CUCCAAGAUGGCAUCAGUCGUACCAGUGAAGGAGAAGAAGCUCAUGGAUGUGAAACUAGGAGAGCUGCCCAGCUGGAUACUGAUGUGGGAUUUCACCCCUAAGGGCAUUGCUGGAGCAUUUCAAAGAGGUUACUACCGGUAUAACAACAAGUAUGUCAAUGUGAAGAAAGGGGGCGUUGCUGAGAUUUCUAUGGUGCUAGCAGCUUAUGUGCUUUUCAACUACUGUCCUUGUUACAAGGAACUCAGACAGGAGCGGCUACGCAAGUACCACUGAAGAGGGCCCAGUGUGGAGGCACAUUCCGCAUUCCUGACCAUGACCUUUGCCUGGCACCCUUGAAUCCUUUCAUAUUCUAAUUCAGAAUUAACAUCCAAUAAAAGAUGACUGGUAAAAAA